UUAAAGCAACAGAUGUACCAGAUUCCCAUACGACAGUGGAUGAUAGUCAUCCAGGACCCUCAGGGGUGGGAACCAGUCAGAAACAAAAGUCAAGUUGGCUAGGACCCUCAGUACAAAAACUUCAGAGAAGGGAACAGAGAAUUGUUGAUAUAGAGGGUACAGAAGAGAGAAGCACUUUAGUCCACAAUGAAACUGGAGAGAAUGAGAAGAAGGGCUUUGAGAGUUCUGUUUCUGAACCUUGGGAAUGCCAUUAGUCACUGUGAAAAGGAUCCUUCUGGUAAUUGUUAUAAGGCUCCAGUCGAAGGCUUUCAUUCUGAAGAAGGCAUCAGAGGUAGCUCAGAAUCUGCUACACC
Macrobrachium nipponense is the source of this 353-nucleotide long non-coding RNA. RefSeq lists it as uncharacterized. Lineage: Eukaryota; Metazoa; Arthropoda; Malacostraca; Decapoda; Palaemonidae. The transcript has 3 exons. The record is from RefSeq and is a predicted model, not a curated record.